RNAcentral lists this ribosomal RNA (253 nucleotides) under uncultured bacterium. RNAcentral describes it as "partial 16S ribosomal RNA". It matches the Rfam family "Bacterial small subunit ribosomal RNA", at positions 524 to 776 of the family's 1533-position model. The record is from RNAcentral.
UACGUAGGGUCCGAGCGUUGUCCGGAAUUACUGGGCGUAAAGAGCUCGUAGGUGGUUUGUCGCGUUGUUCGUGAAAACUCACAGCUCAACUGUGGGCGUGCGGGCGAUACGGGCAGACUAGAGUACUGCAGGGGAGACUGGAAUUCCUGGUGUAGCGGUGGAAUGCGCAGAUAUCAGGAGGAACACCAGUGGCGAAGGCGGCUACCUGGACUGAGACUGACACUGAGGCGCGAAAGCGUGGGUAGCAAACAGG